Molecule: non-coding RNA, 75 nt
Organism: Candidatus Aenigmarchaeota archaeon CG1_02_38_14
Lineage: Archaea; Nanobdellati; Candidatus Aenigmatarchaeota
Source: Rfam
GGGUCCGUAGCUCAGUUUGGAUAGAGCGGCAGCCUUCUAAGCUGAAGGUCGUGGGUUCGAAUCCCAUCGGGCCCA